This 12718-nucleotide long non-coding RNA is filed under the name Capsicum annuum. RNAcentral's name for it is "long non-coding RNA (CANN_LNC003648)". Lineage: Eukaryota; Viridiplantae; Streptophyta; Magnoliopsida; Solanales; Solanaceae. The record is from RNAcentral.
GGCAUUUGAUUAUGAAUACUGUAGACACGUAAUUUCGUUCCUCCCAGAUAUUGUUUUAUCCAUUUUUACCUUAUCCUACCGUGUACCCUCACCCAUGUAAUUACAUCUCACAAAAAUACAAAAAAUAACUCUCAACAAAAUCCCUAACAAAACUUUUAUUCUUUUUAACAUCCUAACAACCCUUUCAAUUAAAAGAAGACACAUUACCCAUACCUCUACCCCCAACACCCCAUACCCAUGUGACCCCCUUCCCUCAAUUUCUUUUCCAUAAAGACAAAAAGGGAUAAACAUUAGAAAGGUGCUCCACUAGGAAACAUUCAGGAAAGGGACAAAAGGACCAUUUUUCCAUUUUGGCAAAGGACCAUAUAUACAUGACAUAUACAAAUCAAGGGGAAAAAGGUUUUCUUCUUCAUUCACCAUAUUCAUCCUUCUUUUUCUUCUCUUAGAGCACGCGCGCACACAGGAAUCCCGUCGAAAAAAAAAUACACUACAAUCUCCAUUUAUUAGAUACAGGGACUGCACAGGGAUUUGGGGAAGUUCAUAAACACACGCCAGAAAUGGGGUUGAUCGAGAGAGAGGGAGAGAACAGAGAGAGAUGAGAGAGAAAAACUUGGCCGGAGAUCGAGCUUUCCGGCCACUCUUCAUCGAAAAUCACUGCACUAGUUCCGAUUUAACUACGAAACCCAUCAAAAACUCAUCCAAACCAUCUCCAUCACUGAAAACCAAGAUCAAAUUGUUACAACCAGCCCAAAAUCGAAUUGUUUCGGGUUGAUUUCGGCCAUUUUGAGUUCGGUUUCAGUUUGUUCAAGGUCAGCUUUGGCCUGUUUGGGUUAGUUUCAGUAAGUUCGGUUUAGUUUUGGUUUGUUCAGUGUUGGUGUUGAAUACUCUCAAGUGGUUUCAUUGAUUUGGUAUUUGAAUCGGACUGCGAAUUGGGGUUGUUUAGCACUGAGUUGAUUCAGCUGUUGUUGAGGCUUAUUUUUCGUCCGAGAAUUCGGGAUUUGGCUUCUCUCAUUUGUUAUUAUCGAUCAGAAUCUGAAUCUUUGGAGGUCACUUUCUUAACUCUAUCCUUUUCUUCUGUUUUCGUAGUUGAAGAUGUGACUUCAUGAUGUUUUGAAUGUAUGUGAAUCCUUGUAAUUCGUGUGGUUAGAUUCAUAGACUUAAAUUGAUUAAUGGUUUGGUCGAAGAUGACUUGAGUUUAUGUUGGCAUAAAUAAAAUCUGGGUGGGAAUGGGAAAUUGAAAGGAUGAACACUAUUUUGAUUGUGACAUACUGAUUAUUGUUUAAUUUUGGAUAAAUAUUAAUUCUGAUCAUUGUCGUUAAAAUGGAUAGGCAAUAUAGGUUUGGGUAGGCAAAUUUUAGAACUUGUUGUUUGGUUGAAUGUUUGAAUAUGGAAUAUUGGUUGAAUGUUUUUUUUUCUAGUUUAUCACAUUUGGAUCAUUUGUAUCAUUUGGCCGGGGAAUGCCCCAAAGUACUUUGUAUUGAUUUAUCUGGGGAAUGCCCUGAGGUAUCUUGUAUUUGGAAGAUGUUUGUGGUAAAGGCCCGAGGUGUCGGGUAAAACACGGGAGCGUAGUUAGAAUUAGUUUAGGUUAGCGUAGGUUUAUAUUUUUUGCAUUUUUUUUAUAUAUCGGGCUGUAUAAUUGGACUGGACAUUACAUUUUGGAUUGUUUUGUUUGUUGUUUGAUUGUUUUGCGUGCUUUUGUGUGGUUUAUAUAUUUCGUAGUGUCAAAUUAGCCGAUAUGCUUCACCAAGACAUUUUGUUUGUGUUGUUUUGUGUUGUUAUUUAUAAUUGUUGAGUGCCUACGUGCUCUUUGUUUACAAUUUUUAUCGUAUGUGUUAUUGCUUUAUAUCUGGCAUCAUGUGCAUAACCCGAGUCAUUCUUUCUGCAACAAGUCCUGGGGUGCACGUCGUGCACACAAACUCUAGUGGAGUCGCACUUAUUUUAGGAGGGUGAGCCUUCGGACGUACGGAGUGGGUGGAAAGCAAAGCAGCCACUAUCGACCAUAUGCUCCCCUGAACAGCCUUGUUAGUAAACCCCAACGUACGUCAGCCUUUAGGUCAUGCUUAUCUGCAUCAUAUUAAGACCUAGUGGGACCUAUUUGGUCCAUUGUAGGAUACUCUGAAGCAUCUCUACGUGCUAAAUGUUGCAUCUUUGAGGCUAACGUGGUCAUUUGACGGACCGAUUUAGGAAAAGCAUGUGUUAGAAGUAAAACGUGUAAAAGGAAAAAAAAGGGAAAAAGAAAGAAAAAGUGAGUCAAAAAGCAAAAAAGAUUUUCGUAGUUUUUAGAGUUCGUUAUGACUUUUGUUUUUCACAAUCCAAAAAUUCAAAAAAGAUUUUUUUUUCCCUUUCGUACUUAUUUUCUCUAAAACAUCAAAAAAGGACUUUUCUUUUGUUCCUUUACCAUGCAUUCAUAAUUUGAAAAUUAAAAAAAAAAAUUAAAUUGGAGCUAUUUAUAAAGAAAAAAAAUGCAAAAAAAAUGGUAGAAGUUUUGUACAUUUCAUAUAACGAAAAUACCCAAAAAAAAAAUUUCUUUCAUAAUUGUUGGUGUCUAUUUUAUGAGAGGUGUCAAAUUGAAAAACUCAAAAAGAUUUUAUUGACAUAUUUCAUCGUCUGUUUGUAAUCGCGUCUCUCAGGUCAAGUCUUAGUCUGUUCUUUAAUUCUUAAUUGUCCAAUCUGGACGAACUACGCAUACCUGAUUCCCGUUCUUUGGGGCGGGAUACGUUGGCAACCCUCGGUGGAUUGGUAAUCUUUAUUUUUGGCUUUUGUCUUAGUCUUAGCCUAUGUUUUUCUCUCCGUAAUCUAGUGUUGUUAGUUGUCCUAGCCAAGUAGGCUGAUUUUAUUCAGUGGUACUGUUCGGAGAUUUGGAGUCAUAAAGUAGCAUGUCCCUUCGACAUGUUCGCCUCAAAGUCUCAAGGGUUAGAAAUUUUCGCUCCUCAAGAUAGAUCUGUCCACAAAGUCUAGAGUCCUUAUGGUUGUCAAGGUACCCAGAAAGUUGAUCAAGUGGUGGGGGAUAUUCAAUUACUCUAAAAAGCACGAAGUGAGGGAAGUUUUAGGCAAUCUGGUAGCGCUUCUUGAUCUCACGCUCCGUCCAGAUCUAAUAGAGGCCGUUUUGACUUUUUGGGAUCCAAAUAAUUUGGUGUUUAGGUUCGGAAGUUGUGAAUUGACUCCUACUCUGGCCGAAAUAUCUCAUUUGUUUCGACUGCCUUAUAUGGAUCAAUGGAUGAUUUUAGCCCGAAAUCAUACAGGCAAGAGAUUUCUUCGACUCUGUGGGUUGAAAGAUAACAAGAAUUUAGGGUGCCUCAAACAAUCAUGGAUUUCCUUCGACUAUUUGUUUGCUAGAUUUGGGUCCUCGAAAAGUUUUAACUGCUUUUGGGAUGAAUUUCGUACUACCAAGAAGAAGUGGGAAUAACGCCGUCUCGAGGUUUUUUGUUUGGCUCUACUGGGUAUCUUAGUGUUCCCAUUAGAUGAGAGACGUAUCAAUACCCACUUAAAAUCAGUGGUGAUGGCAUUAGUUAAGAAAAAGGAGCAAGUUACCAUUGAAUCAAUGAUCUUAACGGAAAUAUAUAAGGCUUUGACUGAGGUGAAAGGAGGGAUUCGAUUUGUUAAAGGGAGACUUAAUAUUACAGUUGUGGAUGAUAGAGCAUUUGCAUGCGCCUUCUUUAGUUAGAGCAGAUGUGGUUGAUAGUUGUAUGGAUGACCGGGUGUACGCCACGGAGGAGAGAAUGGGUUUUGAUAAAUUUUCUUUACCUGUGGGAGUCAAUGCUUGGGUCGAAUUUCUCAAAGCAAGAACACACGAAAAUAUUCUUUGGACCUAUCGAUGGCUCAAUCCUAAGGUAAUUUUUUCUGGAUGUCGCAUGCAACCUCUUCUAGUUCUGAUAGGACUUAAAUGCACUAGGCCUUACAAUCCUAGUAGGGUAAUGCAUCAGUUGGGUAGUGAGCAAGAUAUCCCACUAAUAUUUGACCUUCAAAAAGAUAUCGAGUAUUUUAAGGAUAUAGCCAAAGGGGAAAUCAAGUACGAGCAAUUCUGGCUUAAUACAACAAAAAUGGGUGUAGAUCCUUUCAAAAUAGAUCUGGACAAUCCGGGGUACACUCAAAGAUAUGGAGUCUGGCUUCAAUCCAUACCUCGGGGUGUCAGUAGGCCAUUACCAAUGCAGCUUAGAGAGAGAGUGCAGGAAGAAUGCACAGUUAAUGACCGUCAGGAUGAAGAUGCGGGGGCCAAAGUGGAAGAAUUGAGAGUCCAAUUAUCAAGUUUGCUUGCAACUGUGGAAGGAUAUUAGAAUAGUCUUUGCAGAUGUACUCCCUAGGAGGCAGGUACACGGGCUAGAGGCUUUCUCCCCAAUAUCAAAGUAUCAUUGCAAGGUAUGUUGCACGAUUUGAGCGAGAAAGAGGGAACUUCACAGGCAGGUCUAUCUAAGCCAGGGUCAUCCCACAACGUACAAAUUUGAAGGAGCAACCCUCAUCUUUUAUUUAGUUUGAGUCCUUUAUUUUUUCUGUAAUUGUGUUGUUGUGUCUUUGUUCAGUCGGUGUCAUGUUUGUUUUAAACGUUAGUGGUCUUUACUAGGAGUGUUACACAUGUUAUCUUAUGGGUCUAGAAUGUUGUUUAGUCUUAGUUGAUCAGUUUUAAGUUGUCUUAAAUUCGAAGUUUGUUUUAGUUGUGUUUUUAUGAAAUGUUGUGACGUUGCGUUAUUCUCUCUUUUGUUUAUUUUUUGUCAAAAAAUAAACUUUAACUUUGUGAUAGUUAUGAAUGUGCUUCCCGAACUACGCAAGAUCUGAUUAAUGUACAAUAUGAUACAUAGGCAACUUACUUUUGGGUUCGAUCUAAUCAUUUUGUUUCUUAUUUUUUUCAUUUUAAGUAAAAACAAAAGCCAUAAAGAAUGAUAAAAAAAGAGACAGCGAGAGAGGAGAAGAAAGAAAAAUAAUGAGAGAAGGGAAAAAAGGAUAAAGGGACUGACGCGAGAGAUGAGAGAAGUGAUGAUGAAAAAAAAGAGGUGUGAUUGGGGUAAAAAAGCAAAUAGGUGUAGGAAAAAGAUCGGGAUGAUGUUAAAAUGAGCUUGCUACCCUCAAAGGUUGGUAGAAAUACGCAUGAAUAUAGGACAAUUUUACAAAUAUGAUUCCCAUGCUUGUUGUGUGACCUAAUCCUAACGGGUUUUGUCUUUGAUAGCAUGUUCUUUCAGAUAAGUGGUUGGUUUGCAGCACUUUGGCUAGUCACCCGUACUUCACUAGAUCAAAAGCGAAGCUUGCCAUGGCUACUAGGGAGAUUGAAAAUUCACUCAUUGACCUAGAUCAAGAUCCCAGGAAAAAAAGUUCAGAACACAAUAAUGAAGUAUUGAGACUUAGACAAUAAUUGCUAGAUAUGCACUGAGCAUGGGCUAGUGGCAUGCCUCCUCCUCCACUCUCUGAAGAUCUUGGGAAUAUCCCCAAUUGCCCACCGCUCUCUCAGGCGUAAUUCUCUGUUCCCAUUGAGUCACCGGAGCAUGCACCAAGAUUCACUCCACGACAAUAUUACCCUGGUACUUCUAGUGUGCCCCUGGAAGAUUCUUAACCAAGGCCCGUGACUCAGCUGGCUCCACCGGCAGCACCUAUGUUCGUGGCUCCGUCACCACCUGAAGCUCCCACAUAUUCUGUGCGUCCGAUAAUAGUGCUUCCUCAGUCUGCCAGUGAGCCAGUAUUGAAAGUUUCAGAUAGUCAGUAUUAUGCCCUGGAGCCUAUUUUGAGAAUGAAUGAACCGUAUGGGUACGCUCAACCACCUGCAUUUCUAUUAGAUACGGAGAAACCUACCGCAACAAAGGAACAGGAGGUCAUAGCACGGAAAUUGAAAAGUUUGGAACAGGCGAUGAGGAAUCUGCAGGGAACCGGAGGUUAUAAGAGUGUUUCCUAUUAAUAUCUUUGCAUAUUCCGAGACAUCAACCUUCUCCUCGGUUUUAAAAUGCCCAAGUUCGAGAAGUAUGCUGGACACGAUGAUCCCGUGGCACAGUUGAGAUAUUAUUGUAACCAAUUGAGGGCUGCAGGGGGAAGGGAAGAGUUGCUUAUGGUUUUCUUUGGUGAUAGUCUUUCCGAUCUGGCUUCAGAAUGGUUUGUCGAUCAAGAUAUCGACAAGUAGAACAAUUGGGAUGACUUAGCUUUCGAGAUUGUGCAACAUUUUCAGUAUAAUGUUAACCUGAUUCCUGACAAAAAAUCCUUGGUUAACAUGAAAAAGAACAGCUCCGAAGGCUUUAGGGAAUACGCGAUAAGGUAGCGUGAGCAGGCCGCAAGGGUAAAGCCUCCAAUGAAGGAGAGUAAGCUGGUAGAGGUCUUCAUUCAGGCACAUGAUGAGACCUAUUUUCAACAUUUACUUUCGGCAAUGGGAAAGUCUUUUAUUGAAGUCCACAAAAUGGGAGAGAUGAUAUAGGAAUGAAUUAAGACAGACUGAAUAGUGAGUUUUACCGCAUUAAAAUCCACCACACAAGCGAUUCAAGGUAGAUCUGGCACGUUCGGAGGUAAAAAAAGAAAGAGGACGUGGUGACCGUUGUUGCUGGACCCCAUUCCUAUCCCAAAAGAUCGCCUCGCUCCUAUCCCCAAUCCCAAGCCCAAGCCUAUGUCCAAGCUCCAUAUAUUCCUCUUCACCAUUACUACCCUCCGAAAAACCUACCAUAUGCCAUUCCACCUCCUUCUUACCCAGUAUAUAGCACACAACUAUAUGCUCAAACCCCUUCUUACCCGCAAUGGCGUGCGCAAGCUCCACAAAAUCAUCCAUCAACUUCACCAAAUUACCAAAACCCCUUCAGACCCGAUUUUCAACCCAAGCCCGAGUACAAUAGAGAGAAGGCAGUCAAAAAUUAGUUUACACCUCUUGGAGAGUCAUAUGCUAGCUUAUUUAAUAGGUUGAGAAAGAUGAAGGUCUUAAGCCCAAUUCAAGGAAGGCUUUCAAAUCCACCCCCAAGGAAUAUUGAUUAUUCUUUAAGCUGUGCAUAUUGUUAUGACAUUCCAGGCUACGAUAUCGAGAAAUACUGGUAUUUAAAGAGAGUCAUCCAAGAUUUAAUUGACACAAAUCAGAUAUUGGUCCAGGCCCCAGAGGUUUCAAACAUUAAUCAGAAUCCACUGCCAACCCAUGCUGAAACUAAUAUUUUAGAAUUGAUAUAUGAUGGGUAAAAGUCGUCAAGGUGUUGUAAGCCUAUUUUCAAGAUACAGACCGAUGAGGAAAAUCGGUGAAUGUAGCAGAUUUUUUGAAAGCAAUGUCAUUAAGCUAGGAAGGAAUGAGAAAAGCUAAAGUCCAAGAAAGCAUAAAGAAACCCGUGAUCACAGUGAAAGGAGUUCGAGCAGUCAUUGGUUUAAGUCAAGAUAAGCCUAAGUUGUCGGUGAUAGCAGCUUCGGGUAAGCCCAUCUUGACGGUGAAAGGAGCACUGGCAGCGCCUAUUGUCCUCAAACCGGUGACCUAACCUCUGAUAGUUGAUACGAAAAAGGUUUCCUGGAAUUAUAAGCGGACUGUGAUAACCUAUCAGGGGAAAAAAAUAGUAAAAGAUGUAGAUGAGGUAGGGGGUUUGACUCGGUCAGAAAGAUGUUUCAUGCCUGAAAGCUUAAGGAAGUCCAAGCCAAUUGUAAGUGGACCUUCAUCUAUCAAAAAUCCUGUCACCAAAGAAUAAGCCGAUGAAAUUUUGAAAAAGAUGAAGUUUCCUAAGCAUUCAAUAAUAGAUCAGUUGAAGAAAAUCCAUGCUCAAAUUUCCCGCUUGUCUUUGUUGUUGCAUUCCAAGGAACAUCGUGAUAUUAUAUUGAAGGUAUUAAAUAAAGAACAUAUUCUUAGGGAGGUUACAGUAAAUCAGCUUGAGAAAAUGGUUGAAAAAAUCUUUGAGGUCAAUAGGAUCAGCUUCUCUGAUGACUAAUUGACAAUUGAAGGUAUGGGGCAUAAUUGGGGGCGUUAUAUUACCGUGAAGUGUGAAGAUUUAUACGUCACUCAUUUCAUUAUUGACGGAGGUUCUGGCGUAAAUAUUUGCCUUAUUUCCACCUUGCAAAAGUUGAACAUUAGUGUUAAAAGGAUCAGACCCAACAAUGUAUGUGUCAGGGCUUUCGAUGGUGCAAAAUCAAACUUCAUUGGCGAAAUAGAACUAAUGUUGAUUAUAGGGCCUGUUGAGUUUGCCAUAGAGUUUCAAGUAUUGAAUAGAUACUCUUCUUACAAUCUGUUGUUGGUAAGACCGUAGAUCCACAAGGCCAAGGCGGUUGCAUCUACAUUGCACCAAAUAAUCAAGUUUGAGCAUGACAAGCAAUAAGUUGUUAUUCAUGGUGAAGGGGAUUCGUUUGCCUACGAAGAUUCUCCCUUGUCCCUUAUUGAAGCAAAUAAUGUAGAAGAGACAUUUGUCUAUCAAACUUUUGAUACAGUGUCGGUGAAUCGUAUCAUUGAAGGCCAGAUUAUUCCAGGGCCAAGAUUGUCUCCUGCUUCUGUCAUGAUGAUAAAUAAAAUGUUAAAAUAUGGAUUCGAGCUAGGAAGGGGUUUGGGAGUGUCUCUGCACGGUAUGGUUUAUCCCAUAUGUCCAAAUGAGAACAUGGGCACUUUUAGUUUGGGAUUUGAACCCACAACUGAAGAUCUGAAGAAGGCCAAGGAAAGGAAAAAAGAAACAUAGUCACUCCCUCGCCCAGUGCCCUUACUCAGUAAGUUAUUCAUCAAGGGCAGUGUCGUGGCACCUAUAGAGUUUGGAGCUGAAUUGGUUGAUGACUUCCAGAACCUGUUGAUCGAAGUUGACAUGGUACCAGUAAGACAGAUGUGCAAUUCAUAGGUCCAGCUAUCCGGCUCAACAAUUCUGAAGUCACUCCUCUCCCCAUUAGGAGGGAGUUUUGGUAGUUUGUUUUGUUUUUCUUUAUGUUUAUUCGAGUUAUUUCAGGGUUGUAAUUUGGAUUUUAGUUUGUUUAUGUUAUGUUGUCAUUUGUGUUUAAACCCUCCUAUCUUUUCCUUUUAAUGAAAUGCAAUGUCCCCUUAUUUUGUGUCUAAUAUAUUUUGAUUUUGUCUUUUUCUUUAUCAGUUCUCUUUAUGCUGAUUCUAAUGACAUGACAUGCAUGCAGAAUUUUCAGCCUGAUCUUAAAAUUCAAACUAAUCAAGAUAUAAUGAAGCAAGAGGGGGAAUAUGAUAAAGAAGAGGCACUAGAGGAAAUAAGCAAAGAGUUGGAACAGUUUGAAGAUAAGCCGAAUCCUAAUUUAAAUGAAACUGAGCCAAUCAAUCUAGAGAAUCAUCACCAGGUUGAAGCUAAAGGAAAGUUCUCCCAAAAUUGGCAAGGUCCCUUUAUUGUGAAAAAAGUGUUACCCAAUGGAGCUUUAUAUUUGACAGAUAUUGAAGGCAAAAUGGCAGAAAUGGCUAUCAAUAUUGAUGCGGUCAAAAGAUAUUAUGUAUAACAUUUUAUCCUUUGUUGAUUCUAUUGCAUGUUUAGUACUUACAUUUUUGAAGAUUGAUAUGAUGAAGACAUUUCAUUCUGCUAUCCAAACAUUGUGUCAUCCUUUGUUUACCCCAUUUCAGCUUAGUUCUAUUUUUCUUUCAUAUCCCUCUUUUGGAAUCAAAAUAGAGUAAAAAGUAAAAUGUCCAGAAAAUAAGAAUAAAGGAAAAGCAUGAAAAAAAAAUAAUAAAAGAAAAAAAAGAGAAGAGAAAAUUGGAUCAAAACAAAGAAUAAGUUGAUGGAACUACGUGCGACCUGAUUCUCCUCUCUUGGGAGUGAGAUACGUAGGCUGCCCUAUUUUGGGCUCGGUCCAAUCAAAUAAAAUUUUUAGAGUCACCCAGUCAACAAAACUAGGGCAUGAGUUAAUGUAUUGUUUGAGUCGAUUUCAAAAAGUUGUAAAUCCCACCCCCACUUCAAGUGUCGUUUGAGCCUCCUGCCAUCCUUUUCUUCCUAACCUUAUCCAAAAACCAAGUUACAACCAAAGAAAAACCUUCAGAUCAAUCUUUGAUAAUGUUAAGGCUAAGCAUGCAAUGGAUAUGAUGAUACAUAGUGGGGUACUACUUGUUUUCCUCAACAUAAGAAGUCAGGUAAGAAAUAAAAAUGAGAAAAUCUUAUUGGUGAAAACCCUCGCAAGCACCAUAAGGCGAUGGUAAGCCGAGAGAAAUAAAAAUAAGAGAGUCUUAUUGGUGAAAACCCUCGCAGGCACCACAAGGCGAUGGUGAGCUGAGAGAAAUAAAAAUGAGAGAGUCUUACUGGUGAAAACCCUCACUAUCACCAUAAGGCGAUGGUGAGUUGAGAAAAAUAAAAAUAAGAGAGUCUUAUUGGUGAAAACCCUUAUGGGCACUGUAAGGCGAUGGGGAGUUCGAGAGAAAAGUGAAAAGGAAAGAGAUUUGUUGGCAAAAAAUCUUUCAAGAUGUCGUCAAUUGAAUGAGAUGUAUGAGUCCAAUGAGUUUGAAGAAGCAGCGGAAAGGGCAUGAACUCAACAAUAAAAGGUUGAAGUUUGGGUAGAAAGAUCAGAAAGCUUAAUCCAAAAUGCAUGUCAUACUCAUUGGAGUUGGUUGCUAUAUUCAGAUAAGUUUUCUUUUUGAAUAAGGGACAUUUCCCUUUUCUUUCAUUUGCAUAUUAAUAUUUUUGUCUUUUUAUGCCAUUUAUCAAAAUAAAAGUCACCAUCAUUUCUUUAUAUUUUGAGUCAAGUCUGUGUCAAAACAAGCGAGAAAGGAUUUCAAAACUUGUUAUCAGUCUUUCCAAUUGUAUGAGGAAAGGUUGAGGACCAGCAUAUGAAAGAAAUAUGAUCAUAAUUUAACACAAAGCAAAGAAAGUCUAUCAACCGACAGGUUGUUGGGUUCGUGGGAGUAUUCAGAUUUGGAAAAGGGUGCAUCUCAGAGGCAUGGUAAAAUGAAAAUUCAUUAUUUGAGUCAGAAGUCAUUUCCCCCGAUCUGGUCUGGGUUAAUGAUGCGGCAAAAUUGGGGCAAGUGUCAGCGAUUCAAUACAAAGAUGAAAUGAAUGAGUGCUGGAGCAGAUGCUGAGAAGCCAAGUGCUGCAAGCCACCACUAAGUUUUAACUGACAAAUUCUCUUUGAUGAAAUAGGGGCAAAGUUUUGUUCAAUAAGUUCAGCUAUCUUCGGGAAAGCAUAUUUGGGGAUUUUAUUUUCUGUUCAGGACCCUCUUGAAAAAUGGGAUUUUACUUCCCGUUCAGGACCCUUCUGGAAAAUGGGAUUUUACUUUCCGUUCAGGACCCUCCUGGAAAAUGGAAUUUUUACUUUUUGUUCAGGACCCUCUUGAAAAAUAGGAUUUUACUUUCUGUUCAGGACCCUCCUAGAAAAUGGGAUUUUACUUUCUGUUCAGGACCCUCCUGAAAAAUAAGAAUUUUACUUUCUAUUCAGGACCCUCCUGAAAAAUGAGAUUUUACUGUCUGUUCAGGACCCUCCUGAAAAAUGAGAAUUUACUUUAUGCUCAGGACCCUCCUGAAAAAUGAGAUUUUACUUUAUGUUCAGGACCCUCUUGAAAAAUGGGAUUUUACUUUGUAUUCAGGACCCUCCUGAAAAUGAAAAUUUACUUUACGUUCAGGACCCUCCUGAAAAAUGAGAUUUUACUGUCUGUUCAGGACCUUCCUGAAAAAUGGGAAUUUACUUUAUGUUCAGGACCCUUCUGAAAAAUGGAAUUUUACUUUCUGUUCAGAACCCUCCUGAAAAAUGGGAUUUUACUUUAUGUUCAGGACCCUCCUGAAAAAUGGGAAAAUAGAAUUUUACUUUUUGUUCAGGACCCUCCUGGAAAAUGGUACAUUAGUUUCAAAAAUGAUAAAUUCAUUCUUUAUUAUAAUCUUUGUUUGGGAUAAUUUUCGUUCUAGUUUUGAUUCUGGUUUCAGGAGCCCGCCUGAAGAACUGGGUUAGAAACUUGUAAGUCAGGAGUCCACCUGAAGAACAGGGUGAUGAAAUGGGAAAUUGAAGAAAUUGAAAAUCAGGAACCCGCCUGAAGAGCAGGUUGAUGAAAUUGAAAGACAAAAAUGGCAAGUCAGAAGCCCGCCGGAAGAGCAGGGCGAACAAAUGAAACUCAAGUAACAACUCAAUUUGAAAGAAAUUGCAAGUCAGGAGCCCGCCUGAAGAAUAGGAUGAUAAAACUCAAGUCCAGAGUCAAGGAAUGCUGCAUAGAUAGGAUUUUGUGAUUUCAUUUCUGUUUUGACUUAUAAUUUUCAUUUUGAUGUAAUGACAGAGUUGCGGAACGAAACCUUGAUGGAACCUCACUCGACUCUCCAACUCGGUAUAAUCCAUCUUUUUCCAAUCCUUUGAAACAGCUGUCACUUGACUUCCUCAUGACUUGGGUAGAUAGGGUAUCCGGCAGGAUUCGGUUGUCCUUCUCUCUUUUACUCCUCUCUUUGAAUAAUGAUUGAGACAAAAUUCGGUCUCAUUGUUUACUUCUUUGUCUGAAAACACUGCGUGUUUACAUUCAAAGAGGGCAUGAUGUAGACACGUAAUUUCGACCCUUCCUAAUAUCGUUUUACCUAUUUUUACCUUAUCCUACCGUGUACCCUCACCCAUGCAAUUACAUCCCAUAAAAAUACAAAAAAUAACUCUCAACAAAAUCCCUAACAAACUUUUAUUCUUUUUAACAUCCUAACAACCCUUUUAAUUAAAAGAAGACACAUUACCCAUACCCCUACCCCCAACACCCCAUACCCACGUGACCUCCUCCCCCUCAUAUUUCUUGUCUACAAAAGCAAAAAGGGAUAAACAUUAGAAAGGGGCCCAACAAGGAAACUUCCAGGAAAAGGACAAAAGAACCAUUUUUCCAUUUUGUCAAAGGACCAUAUAUACACGACAUAUACAAAUCAAG